AGAGUUUGAUCCUGGCUCAGAACGAACGCUGGCGGCGUGGAUGAGGCAUGCAAGUCGAACGGAAAGGCCUCGUUUGAUCCUUCGGGUGAAAACGAGGUACUCGAGUGGCGGAAGGGUGAGUAAUGCAUGGGUAACGUACCCUUCGCUCGGGGAUAGCCCGGGGAAACCCGGGGCAAUACCCGAUGAGACCCCGUCUCCUAUGAGAUGUGGUCAAAGGUGGGGACCCCUUCGGGGGCCUACCGGCGAUGGAGCGGCCCAUGUCCUAUCAGCUUGUUGGUGGGGUAAGAGCCCACCAAGGCGACGACGGGUACCGGGACUGAGAGGUUGACCCGGCACAUUGGGACUGAGACACUGCCCAAACUCCUACGGGAGGCUGCAGUCGAGAAUCUUCCACAAUGGGCGAAAGCCUGAUGGAGCGACGCCGCGUGUGGGAAGACGCCCCUCGGGGUGUAAACCACUGUCAGGGAUUACCAAGCAACGGGGACGAACAGUCCCCUGCGUUGAGGAGUCCCAGAGGAAGCCACGGCUAACUUCGUGCCAGCAGCCGCGGUAAUACGAAGGUGGCUAGCGUUGUUCGGAAUCACUGGGCUUAAAGAGCACGUAGGCGGCCCGUCAAGCGUCAUGUGAAAGCCCUCGGCCCAACCGAGGAACGGCUUGGCGAACUGGCGGGCUUGAGGCAGGUAGGGGCGCAUGGAACUCUUGGUGGAGCGGUGGAAUGCGUAGAUAUCAAGAGGAACGCCGGAGGCGAAGGCGAUGCGCUGGGCCUGUCCUGACGCUGAGGUGCGAAAGCCAGGGGAGCGAACGGGAUUAGAUACCCCGGUAGUCCUGGCCCUAAACGAUGUCCACUAGGUCGGAGGUCUUUUGACAGAGUUCCGGCCGAAACAAAAGCGUUAAGUGGACCGCCUGGGGAGUACGGUCGCAAGGCUAAAACUCAAAGGAAUUGACGGGGGCUCACACAAGCGGUGGAGCAUGCUGCUUAAUUCGAUGCAACGCGAAGAACCUUAUCCUGGGCUUGACAUACACGGAUGCCUACCUGGAAACAGGGCCGGUUACCUUUCGGGGUGAAACGUGAACAGGUGCUGCAUGGCUGUCGUCAGCUCGUGUCGUGAGAUGUUGGGUUAAGUCCCGUAACGAGCGAAACCCUUGUCGCUAGUUGCCAGCGCGUUAUGGCGGGGACUCUAGCGAGACUGCCGGUGUUAAACCGGAGGAAGGUGGGGAUGACGUCAAGUCCUCAUGGCCUUUAUGCCCAGGGCGGCAAGCGUGCUACAAUGGCCGGGACAGACCGACGCAAGACCGCGAGGUGGAGCAAAUCGGAAAAACCCGGCCCCAGUUCGGAUUGGAGUCUGCAACUCGACUCCAUGAAGUCGGAAUCGCUAGUAAUCGCGUAUCAGCGCGACGCGGUGAAUGUGUUCCUGAGCCUUGUACACACCGCCCGUCAAGUCAUGGAAGCUGGGAGCACCCGAAGUCGUGCCGUUUCCGGCAUGCCGAAGGUGAGUUCGGUGACUGGGACUAAGUCGUAACAAGGUA
RNAcentral lists this ribosomal RNA (1527 nucleotides) under metagenome. RNAcentral's name for it is "bacterial SSU rRNA". It matches the Rfam family "Bacterial small subunit ribosomal RNA". The record is from RNAcentral.